UACAGGGGGGCAAGCGUUGUUCGGAAUUACUGGGCGUAAAGGGUUCGUAGGUGGCCAACUAAGUCAGACGUGAAAUCCCUCAGCUUAACUGGGGAACUGCGUCUGAUACUGGAUGGCUUGAGUGCAGGAGAGGAAUGCGGAAUUCCAGGUGUAGCGGUGAAAUGCGUAGAUAUCUGGAGGAACACCGGUGGCGAAGGCGGCAUUCUGGACUGUAACUGACACUGAGGAACGAAAGCCAGGGAGCAAACGGG
RNAcentral lists this ribosomal RNA (251 nucleotides) under uncultured bacterium. RNAcentral's name for it is "partial 16S ribosomal RNA". It matches the Rfam family "Bacterial small subunit ribosomal RNA", at positions 524 to 776 of the family's 1533-position model. The record is from RNAcentral.